AAUGUUCGAUCUGCUGCGGGCAGAUGAAAUGGAUGUGGCUGUCGAUGCCGCCGGCGGUGACGAUCAAACCUUCGCCCGCGAUGACCUCGGUGCCGGGGCCGAUGACGAUGUCCACGCCCGACUGCACGUCCGGGUUACCGGCCUUGCCGAUGGCCGCAAUGCGGCAGCCGCGCACGCCGAUGUCGGCCUUGACGAUGCCCCAGUGGUCCACGAUGAGCGCGUUGGUGAUCACCAGGUCCACCGCGUCGCCCGGCCCGGGGCCGUUGACCCGUUGGCUCUGACCCAUGCCGUCGCGGAU
RNAcentral lists this small RNA (298 nucleotides) under Burkholderiales bacterium JOSHI_001. RNAcentral's name for it is "5' ureB small RNA". It matches the Rfam family "5' ureB small RNA". The record is from Rfam by way of RNAcentral. Lineage: Bacteria; Pseudomonadati; Pseudomonadota; Betaproteobacteria; Burkholderiales.